This is a non-coding RNA of Condylura cristata (star-nosed mole), 369 nucleotides long. Lineage: Eukaryota; Metazoa; Chordata; Mammalia; Eulipotyphla; Talpidae. The record is from the annotation of a RefSeq genome assembly.
AUGGCGCCCUCCAGCCUGCUGUGGGCACUGGUGGCCUUCGCCUGCUCUGGAUCUGGUGUGGCCCAGAAAGUAAUUCAAGACGAGCCAACUACAGUCCAACAAAUAAAGUUAGAAGUCACCCUGAAGUGUCGGUAUGAAGUACCUUGGAGUUGGAGUUACUAUUACCUGUACUGGUACAAGCAGCUUCCCGAUGGGAAGAUGACUAAUGUUAUUCGUCAGUAUUCUUCUGAUAACAAUGCGGUAAAGGGCCGCUUUUCUGUAAAACUCCAGAAAACAGACUAUACCUUCUCCCUCACCAUUAAAUCCUUACAACUUGAAGAUUCAGCAAUGUAUUUCUGUGCUCUCAGAGAUACACUGUGUUUGAAAUGA